GCAAGCAUGGCCGAAUGGUUACGCUGUUCGCUUUGUGAGCGGAUGAUCAUGGUUUCGAUUGCCAUCUGCUUCA
Molecule: transfer RNA, 73 nt
Filed under: Culex quinquefasciatus (southern house mosquito)
Lineage: Eukaryota; Metazoa; Arthropoda; Insecta; Diptera; Culicidae
Description: tRNA-Thr
Source: RNAcentral